Molecule: ribosomal RNA, 1237 nt
Filed under: metagenome
Description: bacterial LSU rRNA
Rfam family: Bacterial large subunit ribosomal RNA
Source: RNAcentral
UGAAUACGAGAUGCUACGGCGUCGAAGCAGUCUAUGUCAUACUUCCAAGAAAAGCUUGCACUGUCAUAAACAAAUAAUGCCUGUACCAUAACCGACACAGGUGGGUAGGUAGAGUAUACUAAGGGGCGCGAGAUAACUCUCUCUAAGGAACUCGGCAAAAUGACUCCGUAACUUCGGGAGAAGGAGUGCCUUAUUUAUAAGGUUGCAAUAACAAGAUCCAAGCAACUGUUUACCAAAAACACAGGUCUCCGCUAAGUCGUAAGACGAUGUAUGGGGGCUGACGCCUGCCCAGUGCCAGAAGGUUAAAGAAGUUGGUUAGCAUCCGCGAAGCUGAUAACUGAAGCCCUGGUGAACGGCGGCCGUAACAAUAACGGUCCUAAGGUAGUGGAAUUCCUUGUCGGGUAAGUUCCGACCCGCACGAAAGGCGUAACGAUUUGGAUACUGUCUCGGAGAGGGGCUCGGUGAAAUAGACUUGUCUGUGAAGAUGCGGACUACCUGCACCAGGACAGAAAGACCCUAUGAAGCUUUACUGUAACCUGAAAUUGAAAUUGGACUUUACUUGCGCAGUAUAGGUGGGAGGCGUUGAGAAUAUUCUUGCGGGAUUAUUGGAGCCAUCAGUGAGAUACCACUCUUGUAAUGUUAGAUUUCUAACUUUGUAUCAUUAUCUGGUCAAAGAACAGUUUCAGGCGGGCAGUUUGACUGGGGCGGUCGCCUCCUAAACGGUAACGGAGGCGCACAAAGGUUUCCUCUGAACGGGUAGAAAUCGUAUCUAGAGUGUAAAGGCAUAAGGAAGCUUGACUGUGAGACCUACAAGUCGAGCAGGGACGAAAGUCGGUCUUAGUGAUCUGACGGUGCUGAGUGGAAAGGCCGUCACUCAACGGAUAAAAGUUACUCUAGGAUAACAGGCUGAUCUCCCCCAAGAGUUCACAUCGACGGGGAGGUUUGGCACCUCGAUGUCGGCUCAUCGCAUCCUGGGGCGGUAGUACGUCCCAAGGGUUGGGCUGUUCGCCCAUGAAAGUGGUACGCGAGCUGGGUUCAGAACGUCGUGAGACAGUUCGGUCCAUAUCCGGUGUAGGCGUUAGAAUAUUGAGAGGAGCCUUCUUUAGUACGAGAGGACCGAGAAGGACAUACCUCUGGUGUACCAGUUAUCGUGCCAACGGUAAACGCUGGGUAGCUAUGUGUGGAGUGGAUAACCGCUGAAAGCAUCUAAGUGGGAAGCCCACCUCAAGAUAAGUAA